AAGGGGAGUGGACAUUCAGGCAAAUAUUGAGGGGGCCCUCCUUUCAGACGAGGGAACGGGGGUUCCACGUUGGGGUCCCUGCCCGAGACUGACAUGCCCCUUGCCUGCCAGGCCUUCUCUGCCUUCGCUGAUCUGACCAUCAAGUCACUGGCGGACAUUGAGGAGGAGUACAACUACGGCUUCGUGGUGGAGAAGACGGCAGCUGCCCGCCUGCCCCCUAGCGUCUCUUAGCCCCUCACCGGCCCCAGGGAAGAGUCCCCUGCCUGACAGCCCCGGACCGGCAGCUGCCCACCGCAUUGAAUCUUGGGAGCCUUGGCGGCUCAAGGCAUUAUGGACCCUCAGCCACGCAGCGGAGCAGCAGCCCUGGAGGAGGGGCCGGGAGCGGUCUGCUUGGUGAUGGGUCUCCUGCCCCCCGGGCCGUGAUGGGCAAGGCAAGGGGGAGGGGCUGGACGGAAACCAGUGCCUUCAAGUCAUUUGUGUCAAAACUCUCUGGUGCCUGGAGGCCACGCGGGCGUCCUCCCUCCAGGAAAUAAAACACCACGCUGUCCGGG
Lagenorhynchus albirostris (white-beaked dolphin) is the source of this 551-nucleotide long non-coding RNA. RefSeq lists it as uncharacterized. The record is from RefSeq and is a predicted model, not a curated record. The transcript is spliced from 2 exons. NCBI's taxonomy places the organism in Eukaryota, Metazoa, Chordata, Mammalia, Artiodactyla, Delphinidae.